Molecule: ribosomal RNA, 468 nt
Filed under: uncultured bacterium
Lineage: Bacteria
Description: partial 16S ribosomal RNA
Rfam family: Bacterial small subunit ribosomal RNA
Source: RNAcentral
GAUGAACGCUGGCGGCGUGCUUAACACAUGCAAGUCGAACGGAAGGGCCCAAGCUUUCUUGGGUACUCGAUUGGCGAACGGGGGAGUAACACGUGUGUGAUCUGUCCUUCACUUCGGGAUAAGCCUUGGAAACUGGGUCUCAUACCGGAUAGGACGAUGUUUUGGAUGCCGUUGUGGAGAGUUUUUGCGGUGUGGGAUGAGCUCGCGGACUAUCAGCUUUUUGGUGGGGUAAUGGCCUACCAACGCGUCGACGGGUAGCCGGCGUGUGAGCGUGUAGGGCCGCAUUGGAAUUGUGAUAGAGGCCAGAGUCGGACGGGAGGCAGAAGGGGGGAAUAUUGGACAAUGGGAGGAAGCGUGAGGCAGGGAGGCCGCGGGGGCGAAGAAGGCUGUUAUGUUGGAAGAUCCUAUCGCUAGGGACGAGGCGUCAUUGUGACGGUACCUAGUGAAGAAGCACCGGCUAACUACGUG